GACGAACGCUGGCGGCGUGCUUAACACAUGCAAGUCGAACGGUGAACGAGGGAGCUUGCUCCCUCCGGAUCAGUGGCGAACGGGUGAGUAACACGUGAGCAAUCUGCCCCGAACUCUGGGAUAAGCGUUGGAAACGACGUCUAAUACCGGAUACGACGCGGGAGGGCAUCCUCUCCGCGUGGAAAGAACUUCGGUUCGGGAUGAGCUCGCGGCCUAUCAGCUUGUUGGUGAGGUAACGGCUCACCAAGGCGACGACGGGUAGCCGGCCUGAGAGGGUGACGGGCCACAGUGGGAGAGAUACAGGCCCAGGCCCCCCCGGGGGGGAGGCGGGGGGAAAUGUGGAACAAGGGGCGCAGCCCGGAUGCAGCACCGCCGGGGGGGGAACGACGGCCUUGGGUUUGUAACCCUCUUUUAGCGGGAAAGAAGCAAAAGGGAGGGUCCCUGAAAAAAAAGCCCCGCCAAACUACGUC
This 470-nucleotide ribosomal RNA is filed under the name uncultured bacterium. RNAcentral describes it as "partial 16S ribosomal RNA". It matches the Rfam family "Bacterial small subunit ribosomal RNA", at positions 28 to 507 of the family's 1533-position model. The record is from RNAcentral.